RNAcentral lists this ribosomal RNA (253 nucleotides) under uncultured bacterium. Its description in RNAcentral is "partial 16S ribosomal RNA". It matches the Rfam family "Bacterial small subunit ribosomal RNA", at positions 524 to 776 of the family's 1533-position model. The record is from RNAcentral.
UACGUAGGGCGCAAGCGUUGUCCGGAAUUAUUGGGCGUAAAGAGCUCGUAGGCGGCUUGUCACGUCGAUUGUGAAAGCCCGAGGCUUAACCUCGGGUCUGCAGUCGAUACGGGCUAGCUAGAGUGUGGUAGGGGAGAUCGGAAUUCCUGGUGUAGCGGUGAAAUGCGCAGAUAUCAGGAGGAACACCGGUGGCGAAGGCGGAUCUCUGGGCCAUUACUGAUGCUGAGGCGCGAAAGCGUGGGGAGCAAACGGG